UUUUGGCUGCCCACAACUUUCACUCCGAACGAAAAUAAACUGGUUUGUCCAAGAGCAGCGGUGAUUUCCCAUGGAGCGGGCUUAAAUAACACUUCGACAAGGUUUCGGGUUUCCAGGCUGGUCUUGGUUUUUAAGAGCACGGCCGUGUUGUGUCGUGAAACGUGAGUUUUGCUGGAAAGUUUGGUGUUAAAGCCCAUCCGGAGACAGUAAUGCUGAGAGAAAACGCUGAGAAAACAAGCUGUUAGGGGGAAAAGCUCUGGUUUUCCUGAGUCAGGUGAAUAAUUUAGUGAAGGAGAAGAAGAAGGAGAAGAAGAAGAAGGCAGAAAUAAACGUCAAGCUGGAAUAUAAAGGGAAUGUCUAACCCAGGGGCGAGGAGAAACGGUCCAGUGAAACUGCGGCUCACAGUUCUCUGUGCAAAGAACUUGUCAAAGAAGGACUUCUUCAGACUGCCAGACCCCUUUGCUAAAGUAGUGGUGGAUGGUUCUGGUCAGUGCCACUCGACAGACACGGUCAGGAACACACUGGACCCGAAGUGGAACCAACACUAUGAUCUUUAUAUUGGUAAGCUGGACUCAAUCACCAUCAGUGUAUGGAACCAUAAGAAGAUUCAUAAGAAGCAGGGAGCAGGGUUUCUGGGCUGUGUGCGUCUCCUCUCCAAUGUCAUCAACCGCCUCAAAGACACUGGCUAUCAGAAGCUGGACCUGAACAAGCUCGGGCCAAACAAUAAUGACACCAUCAGAGGGCAGAUAGUGGUGAGCUUACAGUCCACAGACAGGAUAGGAACAGGAGGCCCCUUGGUGGACUGCAGCCGUCUGUUUGACAACGAUUUACCAGAUGGCUGGGAGGAGAGGAGAACUGCAACAGGCAGGAUUCAGUAUCUCAAUCACAUCACACGGACGACGCAGUGGGAAAGACCAACCAGGCCCGCCUCGGAGUACGCGAGUGCCGGUCGGCCCCUCAGCUGCCUGUUGGAUGAGAACACUCCCAUCCUGAGUUCUAAUGGAGCCUCCAGCGUCACACAAACCAACUCCAGAGCUGGAGAGAGACGUGUCCGCUCCCAGAGACACAGAAACUACAUGAGCAGAACACACUUGCACACACCUGCUGAUCUACCUGAGGGAUACGAGCAGAGAACCACACAACAAGGCCAGGUCUACUUCCUCCACACACAGACCGGGGUGAGCACAUGGCAUGACCCGCGUGUGCCCAGGGAUCUCAGCAAUGUGAACUGUGAGGAGCUCGGGCCACUCCCACCAGGCUGGGAGAUUCGAAACACAGCCACCGGCCGAGUGUACUUUGUGGACCACAAUAAUAGAACCACACAGUUCACAGACCCACGUCUGUCGGCCAACCUGCACCGAGUCCUCAAUCCAAAUGGAUCUCGUGGUGUGGAGAAUCCAAACCUCAGUCAUGCUCCCGAGCUGAAGGAGCAGCCUGUGCUGUGUAAUCUCCCCGAGGAAGCUGAAGAGUGUUUAACUGCUCCCAAGUAUAAGCGGGAUCUGGUGCACAAGCUGAAGGUGUUGAGGCAGGAGUUGUCUCAGCAGCAACCACAGGCUGGCCAUUGUCGCAUCGAGCUUUGCAGAGAUGAGAUCUUUGAGGAGUCGUAUCGGCAGGUUAUGAAGAUGAGGCAGAAGGACUUAUGGAAGAGGCUGAUGGUGAAGUUCAGAGGAGAGGAGGGGCUUGAUUACGGAGGCGUGGCCAGAGAAUGGCUGUACUUGUUAUCCCACGAGAUGCUCAACCCGUACUACGGCCUGUUCCAGUAUUCACGUGACGACAUCUACACGCUUCAGAUCAACCCCGAUUCUGCCGUUAACCCGGAGCACCUGUCCUAUUUCCACUUUGUGGGCCGGAUCAUGGGCAUGGCGGUGUUUCAUGGCCAUUACAUCGACGGAGGAUUCACUCUUCCCUUCUAUAAACAGUUACUAGGCAAAUCCAUCACACUUGAUGACAUGGAGGCCGUGGACCCGGAUCUGCACAACAGCCUCAUCUGGAUCCUGGAAAAUGACAUCACAGGUGUACUGGACCACACAUUCUGUGUGGAACACAGCGCUUACGGACAGAUCAUCCAGCACGAGCUUAAACCCAAUGGCAAGAACAUCCCAGUCACUGAGGAAACCAAGAAAGAGUACGUCAGGCUGUACGUGAACUGGCGCUUCCUACAUGGGAUCGAAGCUCAGUUUCUGGCUCUGCAGAAAGGCUUUAACGAGGUCAUACCACAGCACCUACUCAAGGCCUUUGAUGAGAAGGAACUGGAGCUGAUCGUGUGUGGCCUGGGGAAGAUCGACAUCCAGGACUGGAGGGUGAACACGCGCCUGAAGCACUGCACAGCCGAUAGCAGUGUGGUGAAGUGGUUCUGGAAAGCCGUUGAGUCGUUUGAUGAGGAGCGCAGAGCCAGACUGCUGCAGUUCGUCACCGGCUCAUCUCGAGUGCCUCUGCAAGGCUUCAAGGCCUUACAGGGUGCUGCAGGGCCCAGACAGUUCACCAUCCAGCAAAUCGAUGCCAGCACCAACAACCUGCCUAAAGCCCACACAUGUUUUAACCGCGUCGACAUUCCUCCCUACGAGAACUACGACAAACUCUACGACAAGCUGCUGACUGCGAUUGAGGAGACCUGCGGCUUUGCCGUCGAAUGAGGAACACCGACACGCACCCCAUCGGCAAUCUGGAGUGUCCAACGUUGUCAUGGUGUCACUGCAAGCGUGGAGAUUAUAUUACAUGACAAAUACAGCAGGAAGAGGGAAUGAAUGCAACCACGUGGUUACACUUUGUUGUUAACCAUGGUGCUUUUUUGGUUAAUCCAUUUAUCUUCACUCAGCUGCUUUCACCGGAUCUACGAGUUGUUAGAUUUAAUCCAGAAGUCUUCUCUUGGCUUCAAUGAAAUUAGAAAUGAGGAUUUUUACCUCUACUGUGUAAAAUAAAAAGUCUGUAAUGAAGGCAGGGUAACAUUUCCACCCCACCCCCCAAAUCAUGGAGGUCUUCCUGACAGCAGCAUUGCUCAGGUUCAUUUCUAAAAUCUUCUUGGUUGUAAUGAGAACCUCGUAUUAAAAUAAGUUCAAAAAUACUGACCUAUGAAGUCUUCUGACCAUAGACAUGCAUACUAUCAGUCAGUCAGUCAGUCCAGCACCAUGUAGUCCCCAAUUUAUAUUUUUCUUUCAGUUCAAACUAACAACUCCAAUUCCAAAAAAGUUGGGAUGCUGUAUGAACAAAAUCCUAUAUUUCAUUGAAAAUAGUACAAAACACCAAAUGCUGAAACAAAAAGUUAUUGUUUUUUGAAAAAUAUAUGCUCAUUUUGAAUUUGAGGUCAGCAACACGUUUCAAAAAAAGAUGGGACAGGAGCAUGUUUACCAUUGUGUUGCAUCACCUCUACUUUUAACAACACUAUAAAUAAUGUUUGGGAACUGAGGAGACCAGUUGCUAUAGUUUUGAAAGAAAGAGGAAUGUUGUCCCAUUCUUGCCGGAUAUACAAUUUCAGUUGCUCAACAGUUCAGGGUCUCGUUUGUCAUGUUUCAUAAAUGUGCCAAAUGUUUUAAAAUGGGAGACAGUCCUGGACUGCAGGCAGGCCAGUUUAGCACCUGGGCUCCUACUACGGAACCAUGCAGUUUUAAUAUGCGCAGAAAGCGGUUUGACAUUGUCCUACUGAAAGAAGGAAGGUCUUCCCUGAAAAAGAUUUUGUCUGGAUGGCAGCAUAUUGGUCUGAAAUGUGCAUCUCGUUCAGCAUUAAUGAUGCCUUCCCAGAUGUACAAGCUGCCCAUGUCAUGUGCACUAAUGCAGGUGUUUCUCAGCCAUUGGGCCAAGAAUCCCCAUCCCCAAGUUGAAACCAAUUUUUUUUACUUGUAGUAGGGUACAACUGCUGGGUCACAUCCGCCUCAUUAAGCUACAGUCACGCUACAGCCCACGACGCUUUGCGAUGGGUUAUCGAUGAAAAUGAGGCAUUUUAGUGGUGAUGCAUGCCGAUAGACAUGUAAAAGUUGUGCUCACACAGCAGGUGAACACUUGACUGUCACACCUUUGCACACUUGAGUCUGGCGCACGCUCUUGGGAACCAGUCGCUGUGGAAAAACACCCGAUACUGAUUUGAGCACAACCAGCACAUGUAAAUACGGACACUUUGCCAAGUAUCAUCAUUCACAGUCACGUUUGUUUCUAACCAUUUUUAUAAGGCUGUUUUAAAUACUCCACUUUAUGACAUUGCUUUCGGUUUUCGUUUGCAUAAAUAUCACACCUGCUAACACGCGCUAUUCCUGCACUUAGAGCCGUCUACCGCUGUCCAUCUUGUAGUGUCUUGAUCCCCAGAUUGUUAACCAGCCACAUAUUUAAAAAAAAAUAAAUAAAUUUGUACACCUCCAUGUUCUUCCAGGUUUUCGUCCGUGUAGAACGAUGUCUGCAGCACCAGGUAGUUUGAGAUGUUGAACUCAACAGAUGGAUAAUUUUCCAAUUCGUAGGAAAAAGCCACCUUCGUUACCGUGUAAGGUUCUAUCCCACAGAGUGGCUUCUAUAUCCACUUCUUUUGAGUAUUUCUUGGUUUUCAUAACUCGCUUGUUUGCUGUACACAAACAUGGCAGUAAGUUCUUGUGUUAAAUCAACCAGACUCCACUUUUGGAUAUUUAAUCCCUUGUGGCUGAGAAUGCCCUGCAUGCAUGGUUGGGCUUCUGGCACAUCCAUACAGUUUUUUAAAUACAAUACCUACAAUUAAAAACAGUUUCAUUGCAUUUAUUUAAUUCCUUGGCUCCCAUCUGUCACAGGGCAUCUGCAUCCCAUUAAUACGCUUUACAAUAGAUUAUUAAAUUCUAAUAGAAUAUCCAUCAAUUAUCCGUAACCACUUAUCCUGUGCAGGGUCACGGGCAAGCUAGAGCCUAUCCCAGCUGACUAUGGGCGAGAGGCAGGGAACACCCUGGAUAAGCUGCCAGAUCAUCACAGGGCUGACACAGAGACAACCAUUCAUACUCACAUUUCACACCUACGGUCAAUUCAGAGCCACCAGUUAGCCUAACCUGCAUGUCUUUGGACUGUGGGGGAAACCGGAUCACCUGGAGGAAACCCACACAGACAUGGGGAGAACAUGCAAACUCCACACAAAGGCCCCCCAUCGGCCACUCGGCUCGAACCCAGAACCUUCUUGCCGUGAGGCAGCAGUGCUAACCACUACACCACCAUGCCACGCUAUUCUAAUAGAAUAGAGGAGCCAAAAUAAUUGGGGAUCUUUUUUUAAUGAGCCUCGACUUGUUACAAGUACGAGUAGGUGGGUCUCAAAGCAGAAAAGGUUGAGAACCCCUGCACUAAUGCACCCUCAUACCAUCACAGAUGCUGCUUUUGAACUGUGCACUGAUAAGCCAGAUGGUCCCUCUCCUCUUUAGCCUGGAGGAUGUGGUGUCCAUGAUUUCUAAAAAGAAUUUCUACUUUUGAUUCGUCAGCCCUCAGGACAGUUUUCUACUUCGCCUCAGUCUAUCGUAAAGGGGCUCAGGCCAAGAGAAAACAGCAGGGUUUCUGGAGAUUUUUUUUUUUUGUAAUAUUAUAUAAAUCGCUUUAACUUGCAUUUUGUGGAUGCAGUAAUUAACUUUUCACAGACGAUGGUUUUCUGAAGUGUUCCUGAGCUCAUACAGCGAUUUCCAUUACAGACACGUGUCUGCUUUUAAUGCAGUGUCUCCUGAGGACCUGAAGAUCACAGGCAUCCAGUGUCAGUUUUCAGCCUUGUCUCUUGCAUACAGAGAUUUCUCCAGAUUCUCGGACUCUUUUAAAUGAUAUGCACCAUAGAUGAUGUGAUCCCCAAGUUCUUUGCAAUUUUACAUUGAGGAACAUUAUUCUUAAAACUUGUUGCACUGUUUGCCCACGCAGUCUUUCACAGAGCAGUGAACCCCUCCCCAUCUUUACUUCUGAGAGACUCCGCCUCUCUGGGGUGCUCUUCUUAUACCCAGUCGUCUUACUGAUCUGUUGCCAAUUAACCUAAUUAGUUUGUUUUUUUUAAGCAUUACACACCCUUUUCAGUCUUUUGUAGCCCUGGUCACAACUUUUUUUGAAACGUCUUGCUGACACAUUCAAAAUGAGCACAUUUUUCAAAAAACAAGAAAAUCUCAGUUUCAACAUCUGAUGUGUUGUCUUUGUACUAUUUUCAAUGAAAUACGACUUGCAAAUCUUCACAUUCUAUUUUUGUUUUAUACAGCAUCCCAACUUUUUUGGAGUUGUAAAAGUCAACUGCAUUCAUAUUUUAAUAACAAUGUAAGUAGCUAACAGUGUUUGCAGAGAAAACUGGCUAGCUCGUUUAGCUAACGAUCCAUUGAAUAACGUUUACCUUAUCUUCAUUGACGCACGUUUUUUUUUUUUUUACAGCAUAGCAGUAUGAAGGAGGACCAGUAUGAUCACAUACCAGGGGACGUCAGCCAUCUAAGACUCGUGUCAGUCAGCGGAGCAAUGUUUGGAGUCUGACGUUUGCUUCUUCAGUGUUGGACUGGUUCUGCAAAUCUAAUGAAGACUUGUAUCCAAGAACUGCUGCUGUAAUCAUAAAUACUGUCCCGUGCUCAUCCUAGGACUCUUCUACAUCUGUAUACUGUAAUAAGUUGUAACCUUGGUAUCCUGUGUCAGAGUCUGGUUCCACUGAAAAUAUAUUCAUGUUGUCUCAGGGAGUUUUUCCUUGCCACUGUUGUCUUUGGCUUGUUCAUGUAAAUCUACAACCGGAUUGCUGUAAAGCUGCUUUGGUGACCAUGUCUAUUGUUGAACGUGCUAUACAAAUAAAACCGAAUUUAAUUUCAUGUAGCUCAUAAGUAAUGGACUGGGGUCUCACCGAAAAAUCAAACAAACAAUGCCCAGAUCUUCACAUUUGCUUCAAAAUAUCAUGAAGCUAAUUAUUCAAAUAACAGGAUUGGUUACAGAUUUAUGUACAAAGCAAAAAUACUUUAUCCAUCUGUCUACAAUUCCAAAUUCAAACUCAGGAAAAAAAGUUAUUUUAUUCUGUAUCCAAGUUGGCUGCCCCAUAAUUCUACAGUCACCAUCUUGACAGUCAAAACAUUGUCAUCUAUAAAUAUUCAAAAAAAAAAAAAAAGUCACACUGUUCGAAACCACAUCUGCUGGGUUUACAGAUUUUUUUUUAUUUUUUAAAGGUUUUGGGUGAGCUAGACUAUUACUUAUUAGCUAGAUCAAUUGUAGCUCGAGUGCAAAAGCAACGAAGCAAACGUCAGGCAACAAACACGUCUCCGCUGACUGGCUACGUUUAGGAAAAAAAAAAUCUGUAUUUGGGUUUGCAAGUAUAUACACAUUUCACCGAAUCUUUGCUUGAAGUUAAUGCAUCAUGUAUAUAACAUGCUUUUUAACCUUUUAUAUGACUAGAGCUUAUAACAUUUGUCCUUUUUUGUAGCAUCGAUACUCCCAAGGUUAUAUUUAAUCCAUAUAUGUUCGAAAAACCUUAAGUAUGCUCAUAAGGGUGCCUUAUAAAGUAUGAAGUAUAAAUUUUGUUUUUUAUAUUAACGCUGGUGAGUGCUUCGAAAAGGUUUCAUAAUGCAUUUAAAAAUCCUCAGAUUUUUUACGUUUUUCAAAUAACCAACCAUCUGUUUGUUCAGUAUUGUUAUUUAGAAUUAUGCAAUUAUUGCCACCAUGAACGGAAGCCAAGUUCACGCAGUUUGGACAAUCUGCGCCCUCACGUCACAGCAGUUGCCUUUCUAGCAUUUUUCACUUUAUCUGGGUUUGGUGUGAUGUUUGAAUCAGUGUUUUGGAUGCGUGUGCACACACGCUUCAGUAUGUACAGCGCGUGUGUUUGUAAAUAAGCUUGUUGAGUAUUUCACUUUUCGUUUCAUUUGUAUUUAUUGCUGCAGCUGUUCUGCGAGCUCAUUAUCUGUCUGUACAUAAGAGGGCAUGCAGAGAGAGAGUGUGUUCCUGCUGGACGCCUCCAAACACAAGCAAUAAAGUCUGAGCUGUUCGCCUCGGCAGCGUUUUGGUUUAACAGCA
Molecule: RNA transcript, 7932 nt
Organism: Neoarius graeffei (lesser salmon catfish)
Lineage: Eukaryota; Metazoa; Chordata; Actinopteri; Siluriformes; Ariidae
Gene name: E3 ubiquitin-protein ligase SMURF2-like
Exons: 21
Source: RefSeq, a predicted model, not a curated record